CUUCCUUCGGGAAGUGGAUUAGCGGCGGACGGGUGAGUAACACGUGGGUAACCUGCCUCAAAGUGGGGGAUAGCCUUCCGAAAGGAAGAUUAAUACCGCAUAAUAUGAGAGAAUCGCAUGAUUUUCUUAUCAAAGAUUUAUUGCUUUGAGAUGGACCCGCGGCGCAUUAGCUAGUUGGUAAGGUAACGGCUUACCAAGGCAACGAUGCGUAGCCGACCUGAGAGGGUGAUCGGCCACAUUGGAACUGA
Molecule: ribosomal RNA, 248 nt
Filed under: Clostridium botulinum
Lineage: Bacteria; Bacillati; Bacillota; Clostridia; Eubacteriales; Clostridiaceae
Description: partial 16S ribosomal RNA
Rfam family: Bacterial small subunit ribosomal RNA
Source: RNAcentral